This 174-nucleotide ribosomal RNA is filed under the name uncultured bacterium. RNAcentral's name for it is "partial 16S ribosomal RNA". It matches the Rfam family "Bacterial small subunit ribosomal RNA", at positions 335 to 524 of the family's 1533-position model. The record is from RNAcentral.
ACUCCUACGGGAGGCAGCAGUGGGGAAUUUUCCGCAAUGGGCGCAAGCCUGACGGAGCAACGCCGCGUGAGGGAUGAAGGCCUCUGGGCUGUAAACCUCUUUUAUCAAGGAAGAAGAUCUGACGGUACUUGAUGAAUAAGCCACGGCUAAUUCCGUGCCAGCAGCCGCGAUAAU